Molecule: ribosomal RNA, 213 nt
Filed under: uncultured bacterium
Lineage: Bacteria
Description: partial 16S ribosomal RNA
Rfam family: Bacterial small subunit ribosomal RNA
Source: RNAcentral
CCAGUUCGGAUUGUAGUCUGCAACCCGACUACAUGAAGCUGGAAUCGCUAGUAAUCGCAGGUCAGCAUACUGCGGUGAAUACGUUCCCGGGUCUUGUACACACCGCCCGUCACACCAUGGGAGCCGGAAAUGCCCGAAGCCAGUGACCCAACCUUAGGGAGGGAGCUGUCGAAGGUGGAGCCGGUAACUGGGGUGAAGUCGUAACAAGGUACC